RNAcentral lists this long non-coding RNA (702 nucleotides) under Gallus gallus (chicken). RNAcentral describes it as "long non-coding RNA NONGGAT003897". Lineage: Eukaryota; Metazoa; Chordata; Aves; Galliformes; Phasianidae. The record is from RNAcentral.
AAUGACGCCUGGCAACUGCUCCUUGACAGCGCUGCCCCUCGACCAGCCGAGGCAGUUCCCUGCUUCAGCUCAGAAUGAGUCCGCUCUGGAGCUGAGUGCCUGACCAAAAAGGUCGCUCCUCGAGAAGGAAGUGUUAAAGGCGCAAGAGCAGUUCUUGUGGAUCACUAUGUAUAUGUUGAGAGCCAGUAACAUCAGCGUUGGCAAUUAGCCUGAGAUCAGUGCCUGCUAUUAAAAAUGACAGGCAGAAUUAUGCAACAGAAGAUUCGUUUGGGAAAUCUCAUUCACAGUCUGCACAUAUACUCAAGGAGACAAGCCCAUUUCUUAAAUACAUCUGUAGUUUAGGAGGAACCUGUGAUAAAUCUAAACCAAGAAGAAUAUUUUGAUGAGCUGAGGCUAAUAAUGCAUCCUUGCCUCUCAUGCUCCAGCAGAAAAAGGCACUGUCAGCGGGAGACAGACCACAGGGACCCUUCCUGCACAAGGCAAAUAGGAUGUUCACUUUGCAUAGCCUGCAUAGAGAAGUGCCAAAUGAAGUCAGUUUGAGUGAGACAAAACCAAAACCACUGGCGAUGUUCCUUCAAGCCUAAGCUGAAGGUCCAUUCCACAGAAGCACCCCUCUGGGUUAGAGGAGAAGCCCACCCUGGUAAAAUCAAAGCAGGGAUUCUACACAUGACCACGGCGAAGGGUUGGUUGGGUUGGGUUCAG